This 586-nucleotide ribosomal RNA is filed under the name uncultured archaeon. RNAcentral describes it as "bacterial SSU rRNA". It matches the Rfam family "Bacterial small subunit ribosomal RNA", at positions 341 to 924 of the family's 1533-position model. The record is from RNAcentral.
UAGGGGCGCAGCAGUGGGGAAUCUUGGACAAUGGGCGAAAGCCUGAUCCAGCGACGCCGCGUGGAGGAAGAAGUCCUUCGGGAUGUAAACUUCUGAGCUAGCCGAAUAAAAGGCCUGUGGACACACAGGAGAAGAAAGUAGGCUAGGAAAAGUCCCGGCUAACUACGUGCCAGCAGCCGCGGUAAGACGUAGGGGGCAAGCGUUACCCGGAAUUACUGGGCGUAAAGGGGGCGUAGGCGGUAAAAGAAGUCAUCUGUGAAAACCUAUUGCUCAACGAUAGGCUAGCGGAUGAAACUGAAUUACUUGAGGGCACCAGAGGUAGACGGAAUUACUUGAGUAGGGGUGAAAUCCGCAGAUACGGGUAGGAACGCCGGUGGAGAAGUCGGUCUACUGGGGUGCACCAGACGCUGAGGCCCGAAAGCUAGGGGAGCAAACCGGAUUAGAUACCCGGGUAGUCCUAGCCGUAAACGAUGCUCACUAGGUGCAGGGAGUGAUAAACUCUCUGUGCUGAAGCGAACGCGCUAAGUGAGCCGCCUGGGGAGUACGUCCGCGAGGAUGAAACUCAAAGGAAUUGGCGGGGGAGCAC